Molecule: long non-coding RNA, 557 nt
Organism: Thunnus maccoyii (southern bluefin tuna)
Lineage: Eukaryota; Metazoa; Chordata; Actinopteri; Scombriformes; Scombridae
Exons: 2
Source: RefSeq, a predicted model, not a curated record
UUUACUUUGCCCUAUGACGUACUGGUAACUGGUGGAGAAAAAGUCAAACCUCCAUACUACUUCGCUACUUUUAGGUGAACAUGAUGUGCGAGGGAAAGACGGAAGAAAGAAGUCUGCUGUUGUGAGGCUGAAGUUCAAAGAGAAGAACUCUGGUCAGAUCGCCUUCACACCGCUGACUGCAUCUCCGCCACAGAGCAGAGUCAUACAAAUAUGACGAACAAUCGUGUGCAAAACCUCCAUAAAAAUGCAAAAAGCAGUAACAAGAAAAAUAUGUCUCUGAAUAACAGGAGGACAAAUAUCAUAUGUUGCGAUUGCAACAGCCAGAUAAGAGGCCUGGGAAACUCCAUGGCAUGCAGAAUUACGCUUCAUGGGUAUCGAGACUGUUCUGCCACUGAUGAGAGGAAGUAAUAGUGUCUUGGAUUCGUCUGCACAUUGCUGAAGAUGAUGUGAAAACAGGUUUGAUUUCCAGGAAAUUGUUGACGUAAAUGAUAAAAGUCACAUUCGCUUCUACGGUGUAUCUCUUCUUUUAGCAAUUAAAUUGUUCUAAUUUGUUUUAA